UACGUAGGGUGCGAGCGUUAAUCGGAAUUACUGGGCGUAAAGGCGUGCGCAGGCGGUUUUGUAAGCCUAGAUGUGAAAUCCCCGGGACCUUUAACCUGGGAAUGGCAUUUGGGACUGCAAGGCUUGAGUGCGGCAGAGGAGACUGGAAUUCCUGGUGUAGCAGUGAAAUGCGUAGAUAUCAGGAGGAACACCGAUGGCGAAGGCAGGUCUCUGGGCUGACACUGACGCUCAUGCACGAAAGCGUGGGGAGCAAACAGG
This 258-nucleotide ribosomal RNA is filed under the name uncultured bacterium. Its description in RNAcentral is "partial 16S ribosomal RNA". It matches the Rfam family "Bacterial small subunit ribosomal RNA", at positions 524 to 776 of the family's 1533-position model. The record is from RNAcentral.